GACGAGCCACCCGAACGUUAUUCGGAAUUACUGGGCUUAAAGGGUGCGUAGGCGGUGCAGCAAGUCGGGAGUGAAAUCCCUCAGCUUAACUGAGGAACUGCUUUCGAUACUGCUGUGCUUGAGUGAGACAGAGGUAAGCGGAACUUAGGGUGGAGCGGUGAAAUGCGUUGAUAUCCUAAGGAACACCGGUGGCGAAGGCGGCUUACUGGGUCUCUACUGACGCUGAGGCACGAAAGCCAGGGUAGCAAACGGG
This 253-nucleotide ribosomal RNA is filed under the name uncultured bacterium. Its description in RNAcentral is "partial 16S ribosomal RNA". It matches the Rfam family "Bacterial small subunit ribosomal RNA", at positions 524 to 776 of the family's 1533-position model. The record is from RNAcentral.